RNAcentral lists this ribosomal RNA (789 nucleotides) under uncultured bacterium. RNAcentral's name for it is "bacterial SSU rRNA". It matches the Rfam family "Bacterial small subunit ribosomal RNA", at positions 8 to 796 of the family's 1533-position model. The record is from RNAcentral.
AGAGUUUGAUCAUGGCUCAGGAUGAACGCUAGCGGCAGGCCUAAUACAUGCAAGUCGAACGGUAAGUAUGAUAGCAAUAUUAUACGAGAGUGACGCACGGGUGCGUAACACGUAUGCAACCUACCCUUUACAGGCGGAUAGCUCGGGGAAACUCGAAUUAACCCGCCAUAAUAUAAUUGUGUGGCAUCAUAUGAUUAUUAAAACUGAGGUGGUAAAGGAUGGGCAUGCGUCUGAUUAGUUAGUUGGUAGUGUAACGGACUACCAAGACGAUGAUCAGUAGGGGAACUGAGAGGUUGAUCCCCCACACUGGCACUGAGAUACGGGCCAGACUCCUACGGGAGGCAGCAGUAGGGAAUAUUGGUCAAUGGGUGAGAGCCUGAACCAGCCAUGCCGCGUGCAGGAAGACGGCCUUCUGGGUUGUAAACUGCUUUUGCCAGGGGAUAAAAAGUCCUUGCGAGGAUAAUUGAAGGUACCUGGUGAAUAAGCCACGGCUAACUACGUGCCAGCAGCCGCGGUAAUACGUAGGUGGCAAGCGUUGUCCGGAUUUAUUGGGUUUAAAGGGUGCGUAGGCGGCCUAUUAAGUCAGUGCUGAAAUAUCCCGGCUUAACCGGGAGGGUGGCAUUGAUACUGAUGGGCUAGAGUACAGAUGAGGUAGGCGGAAUUGACGGUAGCGGUGAAAUGCUUAGAUAUCGUCAAGAACACCUAUAGCGAAGGCAGCUUACUAGGCUGUAACUGACGCUGAGGCACGAAAGUGUGGGGAUCAAACAGGAUUAGAUACCCUAGUAGUCC